UGCGGAAGGAUCAUUAACCUUUCAAAAAACAGGGUGCGUCGCGGCCCCCCUCCGGGGGCGGUUUGGGGUCCUCCCCUUCACGCGCGCACGACUGCAUCCUUACUUUACGAGCACCUUCUGUUCUCCCUCGGCGGGGCAACCUGCCGUUGGAACCGAAUAAACCCUUUUUUGCAUCCAGCAUUACCCGUUCCGAAACAAACAAUCGUUACAACUUUCAACAAUGGAUCUCUUGGCUCUGGCAUCGAUGAAGAACGCAGCGAAAUGCGAUAAGUAGUGUGAAUUGCAGAAUUCAGUGAAUCAUCGAAUCUUUGAACGCACAUUGCGCCCCUUGGUAUUCCGGGGGGCAUGCCUGUUCGAGCGUCAUCUACACCCUCAAGCUCUGCUUGGUGUUGGGCGUCUGUCCCGCCUCAGCGCGCGGACUCGCCCCAAAUCCAUUGGCAGCGGUCCUUGCCUCCUCUCGCGCAGCACAUUGCGCUUCUCGAGGGGCUCCGGCCCGCGUCCAACAAGAAAACAUUACCGUCUUUGACCUCGGAUCAGGUAGGGAUACCC
Molecule: ribosomal RNA, 549 nt
Filed under: Didymellaceae sp. F242
Lineage: Eukaryota; Fungi; Ascomycota; Dothideomycetes; Pleosporales; Didymellaceae
Description: eukaryotic LSU rRNA
Rfam family: 5.8S ribosomal RNA (bases 210-363)
Source: RNAcentral